AACGAACGCUGGCGGCAUGCCUAACACAUGCAAGUCGAACGAGACCUUCGUGUCUAGUUGCUCACGGGUGCGUAACGCGUGGGAAUCUACCCUCAGGUUCGGAAUAACUCAGAGAAAUUUGAGCUAAUACCGGAUGAUGACGUAAGUCCAAAGAUUUAUCGCCUGAGGAUGAGCCCGCGUAGGAUUAGGUAGUUGGUGAGGUAAAGGCUCACCAAGCCGAGGAUACUUAGCUGGUCUGAGAGGAUGAUCAGCCACACUGGGACUGAGACACGGCCCAGACUCUUACGGGAGGGAGCAGAGGGGAAUAUAGGAAAAUGGGCGAAAGGAUGAUCCAGCAAGGCCGGGUGAGUGAUGAAGGCGUGAGGGAAGUAAAGCUCGUUUACACGGGAUGAUAAUGACAGUACCGGGAGAAUAAGCACCGGCUAACUCCGUG
RNAcentral lists this ribosomal RNA (433 nucleotides) under uncultured bacterium. RNAcentral's name for it is "partial 16S ribosomal RNA". It matches the Rfam family "Bacterial small subunit ribosomal RNA", at positions 29 to 507 of the family's 1533-position model. The record is from RNAcentral.